AUUCCAGCUCCAAUAGCGUAUAUUAAAGUUGUUGCGGUUAAAAAGCUCGUAGUUGGAUUUCUGCCGAGGACGACCGGUCCGCCCUCUGGGUGAGUAUCUGGCUCGGCCUGGGCAUCUUCUUGGGGAACGUGGCUGCACUUGACUGUGUGGCGCGGUGCCCAGGACUUUUACUUUGAGGAAAUUAGAGUGUUUCAAGCAGGCUCACGCCUUGAAUACAUUAGCAUGGAAUAAUAAGAUAGGACCUCGGUUUUAUUUUGUUGGUUUCUAGAGCUGAGGUAAUGAUUAAUAGGGAUAGUCGGGGGCAUUCGUAUUCAAACGACAGAGGUGAAAUUCUUGGACCGUUUGAAGACGAACUAAGGCGAAAGCAUUUGCCAAGAAUGUUUUCAUCA
Molecule: ribosomal RNA, 389 nt
Filed under: Diplopsalis sp.
Lineage: Eukaryota; Dinophyceae; Peridiniales; Diplopsaliaceae
Description: partial small subunit ribosomal RNA
Rfam family: Eukaryotic small subunit ribosomal RNA
Source: RNAcentral